GACAUUGCAUCGAAACAACUAGUAGAUUCAUAGAGAAACCAAGAAUACAUCUUAUGGAUGCAGCUAGAUGUGUAAAAUAACUAUUGGUUUUGGACUUCAUAAAGGGGUAUUCCAUGUCAAGUUAUAAUAGGUUAGUUGCAAUGCUGGUUAUGGUGGAGGUCAUGAUACAAAACAAUCUAUAUACCUGGUUACAUGCUCAGUCUUGGGUUCAACAUAAUCUAUUGAUGUAGCAAAGACAACCUACAGUAUUGUUGUCACUUCAAAAGCGAAAUAUGGACCAGCAGUUGUGGCAACAUAACAAAGCACGAGGUUGAUACAACUCACACCAACUGAUUGAUUCUCUAGUGCAACUCCAUUCCCAUAACAAGUCAGCAUACACUAGACCGAGAAUUCAUUCAGAACCAAACACACAAACAUGCACUCACUUUGAACGAGAAAAAGUGAUUCAACAUUAAGUUGAACUAAAUAU
This 469-nucleotide long non-coding RNA is filed under the name Gossypium barbadense (sea-island cotton). Its description in RNAcentral is "long non-coding RNA (GBAR_LNC017785)". Lineage: Eukaryota; Viridiplantae; Streptophyta; Magnoliopsida; Malvales; Malvaceae. The record is from RNAcentral.